This 412-nucleotide ribosomal RNA is filed under the name Siphamia jebbi (Jebb's siphonfish). RNAcentral's name for it is "partial 12S ribosomal RNA". It matches the Rfam family "Bacterial small subunit ribosomal RNA", at positions 915 to 1525 of the family's 1533-position model. The record is from RNAcentral. Lineage: Eukaryota; Metazoa; Chordata; Actinopteri; Kurtiformes; Apogonidae.
GGCCCUUCAUACCCACCUAGAGGAGCCUGUUCUAGAACCGAUAACCCCCGUUUAACCUCACCUUUCCUUGCCCCCAGCCUAUAUACCGCCGUCGUCAGCCCACCCUGUGAAGGCCUUAAAGUGAGCAAAAGUAGUCCCCCUCAAAACGUCAGGUCGAGGUGUAGCUUAUGGAAAGGAAGUAAUGGGCUACAAUUGUUUUUCAACUAACACGAAUUGUAUGCUGAAACCACAUACAUGAAGGAGGAUUUAGGAGUAAGAAGAGAUUAGAGCGCUCUUCUGAAACGGCCCUGAAGUGUGCACACACCGCCCGUCACUCUCCCCGAACAUUUUUAAAAUAUAACUAAUACAAGUUCCUCACGAAGGGGAGACAAGUCGUAACAAGGUAGGAGUACCGGAAGGUGCUCCUGAAAUA